UGGGGAAUCAUGGUCAAUGGGCGAAAGCCUGAACCUGCGACGCCGCGUGAGUGAUGAAGGUCGUAAGAUCGUAAAACUCUUUUCAGGGAUCUUAAAGCCUGUCUGUCAACAACAGGCAGGUCUGACUCUCCCUGGAAGAAGCACCAGCCAACUACGUGACAGCAGCUGCGGUAAUACGUAGGGGGCGAGCGUUAUUCGGAAUUACUGGGUGUAAAGGGUAUGUAGGCGGCCCUUCAGGUCGCGUGUCAAAGUCCAGUGCUCAACGCUGGGUGUGCGCGCGAGACUGACGGGCUUGAGGGCUGGAGAGGUGAGCGGAAUUGCCGGUGUAGUGGGAAAAUACGUAGAGAUCGGGAGGAACACCAGCGGCGCAGGCGGCUCACUAGACAGUUUCUGACGCUAAGAUACGAAAGCGUGGGGAGCAAACA
RNAcentral lists this ribosomal RNA (425 nucleotides) under uncultured prokaryote. RNAcentral's name for it is "bacterial SSU rRNA". It matches the Rfam family "Bacterial small subunit ribosomal RNA", at positions 355 to 774 of the family's 1533-position model. The record is from RNAcentral.